Non-coding RNA from Rattus norvegicus (Norway rat), 2228 nucleotides. The record is from RefSeq and is a predicted model, not a curated record. Lineage: Eukaryota; Metazoa; Chordata; Mammalia; Rodentia; Muridae.
GAGAUGAGCUUUGUAGUGGCCUAAAGGGACUGAUUUUACUCAUGACUUGAGCACUUGGAGUGUACUCCGGGGGGUCACAGUCAUAGGUUGCUUUUUGUUGUGUAAUAAACACCAUGACCAAAAGCAACCUGGGGAAGAAAAACAAAGAGUUAUUUGCUUUACUGGUAACAGUUCUUCAUCCAGGUCAGGCAGCACAGGAACCUGAAGCAGGAACUGAAGCAGAGAACAUGGAGGAACUGACUGUUCAUUCCUCCCAGUCCUGAGAGAGGGAACAGCAGUUAAGAACAAAGCUUUCUAGACAAGACUGCAUCACCUGAGGUUUACACCUACUUCUUCCUGGCUAAGUGGCUUCUGGCAGCUUGUCUCAUCUCCAGCUCAUCUCUAAAAUGGCAACAGCAAGUCCUGAGACUAGAGAUAUGAAAUGUAUGAAUCAGUCUUGUACAUUCCCCGAUGUAAGCAACAUCCUUAUUAUUAAGAAGUGGUAUACACAUACUCUCUUAAGAGUCCAGGUUCAUAGUGACCAUAUUCAUUAUUUACUCAAAGACUCCCCCCUCCCCCAAGACAGUUUCCUGUCACCUACAUUGGUCUCAAACUAUGUAGCUAAGGAUAACCUUGAACUUGUGGUCCUUUUUGUCUACCUUCUCAGUUGUGGGACUACAGGCAUGUGCCACUCCACUUGGCUUAUAUGAGGUGCUGGGCAUGGAACAAAGGGAGUCAACUGAGCAAGCACUCUACCAACUGAGCCAGAUCUCUUUAAGUACUGGGCCAGUGGUUGGAGAUCCUUGAGCCAGUUUAUGUAAGAAAUAACCAAUAGUGGUGGAAACAGAGUUUGAAUCCCAUUUAAUCAGAGACCUCUCCACAGCCAUUCUGCCAUAAUCCAACCUCAUCCUGCAAGACUUAAGAAAACAAAAACGAAACACCGAAUAAUGUCUAGCCUUCACAAAAUCUACUAAAUAGUCUGUGGACAAACUGAGCAGAUGGCUCAAUGGGCAGAGUGAGCACAAGGACCUGAUUCAAAUCCACAGCACCCACAUAAAAUACUGGCCACAGCUGUGUGAUUGUAACUCCAUCACUGGGAAGCAAAGACAGCCAGAUCCUGAGAGUUUAGAGACAGACAGUCUAGCUGAAAAUAGCAAUUUUUAGUUCAGCAUGAAGAUCAAAGCAAUAACAGUGACAUUCUGCUCUGACUUCUUCAUGGAACAUGCAUUAUUUUGUUCAGGUACAGGCAAAAUACACACACACGCACACACACACACACACACAUUCAGGUGACUGAAAUACAUAGAUAUUUGCUAAAUAAUAGGUUUGGUAGGGUCCAAAGAGAAGAAAGGCUUUGCUUACCUAACCCUAAAAUCAUACACUUAGCACCCAAAAGGGUACUGAAAUUCAUUAUGUUUUAAGAAAGCAAACAAGUUUUAUCAUCGAGUUAAUUAUAGUUCUAUAAUUUUCAGAUAUUACUUAAUUUUAUAUUAUUUUACAUGUAUGUUUUUUGACACUGCAUACAUAUCUAUAUAUCAUGUGUAUGGCAGAGGUCCUCGGAGGCCAGAAGAGGAUGUUGGAUCCCCUGGAAUUGGAGUUACAGUUGUGAGCCUCUAUGUGGAUGGCGAAUGAAACUGUAUUCUCUGGAAGAGCAGCCAGUGCUUUUUUUUUUUUUCAAUCUUUAUUAAUUUGAGUAUUUCUUAUUUACAUUUUGAUUGUUAUUCCCUUUCCCGGUUUCCAGGCCAACAUCCCCCUAGCCCCUCCCCACUCCCCUUCUAUAUGGGUGUUCCCCUCCCCAUCCUCCCCCAUUACCGCCCUCCCCCCAACAAUCAUGUUCACUGGGGUUCAGUCUUAGCAGGACCCAGGGCCAAAGCAACUCUAUGUAAACAUUUAAUUGGGACUGGACUAUAGGUUUGGAGGUGUAGUCAUUGUCAUCAUAGCAGGACGCAUAGCAGCGCCCAGAUAGGCAUGGUGCUGGAGGAGCUGAGAGUUCUACAUCUUGUUCUGAAGGCAAACAGAAGAAGACUGCCUUCCAAGGAGCUAGGAGGAGGGUCUCAAAGCCCACUGCACAAUGACACACUUCUUCCAACUAAGCCAAUAGUGCCACUUCCUGUGUCAAGCAUAUUCAGACCACCACACAGGCUAUGUGCAUGCUAUCACAGUCUCUGAGAGUUCAUAUGGACAUCAGUUCUUGUGUUUGGAAGGCCUUGUUUUGUUGGUGUCCUCCAUGUCUUAUAAUCUUUCCACCU